Molecule: ribosomal RNA, 812 nt
Filed under: Staphylococcus aureus
Lineage: Bacteria; Bacillati; Bacillota; Bacilli; Caryophanales; Staphylococcaceae
Description: partial 23S ribosomal RNA
Rfam family: Bacterial large subunit ribosomal RNA
Source: RNAcentral
AGUGGAAAAGGAUGUGGCGUUGCCCAGACAACUAGGAUGUUGGCUUAGAAGCAGCCAUCAUUUAAAGAGUGCGUAAUAGCUCACUAGUCGAGUGACACUGCGCCGAAAAUGUACCGGGGCUAAACAUAUUACCGAAGCUGUGGAUUGUCCUUUGGACAAUGGUAGGAGAGCGUUCUAAGGGCGUUGAAGCAUGAUCGUAAGGACAUGUGGAGCGCUUAGAAGUGAGAAUGCCGGUGUGAGUAGCGAAAGACGGGUGAGAAUCCCGUCCACCGAUUGACUAAGGUUUCCAGAGGAAGGCUCGUCCGCUCUGGGUUAGUCGGGUCCUAAGCUGAGGCCGACAGGCGUAGGCGAUGGAUAACAGGUUGAUAUUCCUGUACCACCUAUAAUCGUUUUAAUCGAUGGGGGGACGCAGUAGGAUAGGCGAAGCGUGCGAUUGGAUUGCACGUCUAAGCAGUAAGGCUGAGUAUUAGGCAAAUCCGGUACUCGUUAAGGCUGAGCUGUGAUGGGGAGAAGACAUUGUGUCUUCGAGUCGUUGAUUUCACACUGCCGAGAAAAGCCUCUAGAUAGAAAAUAGGUGCCCGUACCGCAAACCGACACAGGUAGUCAAGAUGAGAAUUCUAAGGUGAGCGAGCGAACUCUCGUUAAGGAACUCGGCAAAAUGACCCCGUAACUUCGGGAGAAGGGGUGCUCUUUAGGGUUAACGCCCAGAAGAGCCGCAGUGAAUAGGCCCAAGCGACUGUUUAUCAAAAACACAGGUCUCUGCUAAACCGUAAGGUGAUGUAUAGGGGCUGACGCCUGCCCGGUGCUGGAAG